GAUGAAGAACGCAGCGAAUUGUGAUAAGUAAUGUGAAUUGCAGAAUUCAGUGAAUCAUCGAAUCUUUGAACGCACAUUGCGCCCGCCAGCACUCUGGCGGGCAUGCCUGUCCGAGCGUCAUUUCAACCCUCAGGGCCCCUUCGGGGGACCUGGCGUUGGGGAUCGGCCCGCCCCCGUGCGGCGCCGUCCCCGAAAUAUAGUGGCGGUCUCGCUGCAGCCUCCCCUGCGUAGUAGCACACCUCGCACUGGAGAGCGGCGCGGCCACGCCGUGAAACCCCCAACUUCUGAAUGUUGACCUCGGAUCAGGUAGGAAUACCCGCUGAACUUAAGCAUAUCAAUAAGCGGAGGA
Molecule: unclassified non-coding RNA, 349 nt
Filed under: soil metagenome
Description: partial contains 5.8S ribosomal RNA, internal transcribed spacer 2, and large subunit ribosomal RNA
Rfam family: 5.8S ribosomal RNA (bases 1-120)
Source: RNAcentral